This 715-nucleotide long non-coding RNA is filed under the name Lathyrus oleraceus (garden pea). RNAcentral's name for it is "Pisum sativum (pea) long non-coding RNA (PSAT_LNC038539)". The record is from RNAcentral. Lineage: Eukaryota; Viridiplantae; Streptophyta; Magnoliopsida; Fabales; Fabaceae.
CCUUUUUUCUGAAUUUCCAGUUUGUGAAACUCAACUUCAAUAGUUUUGGCUAUUUUGGCAUCAUCCGGGUCUGGCUCUGGUAUGUCUACAUAGAAAGAUCCUUGUCUCAUCAGCGGUGUUGAUUCCGCAGAGUUAGCUUGCUGCUUUAUGUCGUUAUAGAGUUGUUGAUGGAAUGUGUGAUUGAAGGAGAAACAGUUUUCGGUAAUUGCUGCAACUGCAUUAUGUCUCGAUGGCUUGGAAUCUUGUUUUUUGCAGAAGUGUGGGAGAGAUCCGUAGUCCAUUACCUUGAGUAAUUCGUCCUUGCCACAACCUUGCAGCACCUGGAUUUUCUUCCUUGUUCUUUCUUGCAAAAGAGGCUUUACAACCUUCCAACACGCGGAGAAUACAUAUGGUGCAUUAACGAUAUAGUAUGUGUCUGUCUUUUCCGGAUAGUUCAAGUCAUCUAUCGUAGAUAUAGCUGUCAAUAGCCUUUGAGGUAUCCAUGCCGGAUUUUACAAAUUACUCAUGCAUAGUUGGUUAGUUUAUAAGUUUCGUUAGUCAUGGGGAUGCUGGUUAACAGUUGUUGUAAUUGCAGGUUAGAGGGGUUUAAUGGAUACUGAGUUCUUAUUGAAUUUCUCAGUUUCACGCGCAGGUUAUACAUACAUUCGACGUAUGUGCGGUUUGAUUUGCUAAAGGCGGGAGGUCACGGUUUCAACGACACUAGUUUGUAUCGACG